RNAcentral lists this ribosomal RNA (433 nucleotides) under uncultured bacterium. RNAcentral describes it as "bacterial SSU rRNA". It matches the Rfam family "Bacterial small subunit ribosomal RNA", at positions 355 to 786 of the family's 1533-position model. The record is from RNAcentral.
UGGGGAAUCUUGCGCAAUGGGCGAAAGCCUGACGCAGCGACGCCGCGUGGGGGAUGACGGGUUUCGGCUUGUAAACCCCUGUUGCCCGGGACGAACUUCUCCUUUCGAGGAGAUUGACGGUACCGGGUGAGGAAGCACCGGCUAACUCUGUGCCAGCAGCCGCGGUAAUACAGAGGGUGCGAGCGUUGUCCGGAAUCACUGGGCGUAAAGGGCGCGUAGGUGGCGCGACAAGUCGGUGGUGAAAGUUCGACGCUCAACGUCGAAUCGGCCACCGAUACUGUCGGGCUCGAGCACUGUAGAGGCUAAUGGAAUUCCGGGUGUAGCGGUGGAAUGCGUAGAGAUCCGGAAGAACACCGGUGGCGAAGGCGGUUAGCUGGGCAGUUGCUGACACUGAGGCGCGACAGCGUGGGGGGAGCAAACAGGAUUAGAUACC